UAAGGAAUAUUGCUCAAUGGGCGAAAUCCUGAAGCAGCAACGCCGCGUGGAGGAUGAAGGGCUUUCAGCUUGUAAACUCCUGUAAAGAAGGAAAAAAUUCCCAUUAGAUGGGAAAUGAUGGUACUUCUAAAGUAAGCCCCGGCUAACUACGUGCCAGCAGCCGCGGUAAUACGUAGGGGGCAAGCGUUGUCCGGAUUUACUGGGUGUAAAGGGUGCUCAGGCGGAUGUGUAAGUCAGAGGUGAAAUCUCACAGCUUAACUGUGAAACGGCCUUUGAUACUGCAAGUCUAGAGUAUGGAAGAGGGUGAUGGAAUUUCUGGUGUAGCAGUGAAAUGCGUAGAUAUCAGAUAGAACACCAAUGGCGAAGGCAGUCACUUGGUCCAUUACUGACGCUAAAGCACGAAAGCGUGGGUAGCAAACA
RNAcentral lists this ribosomal RNA (420 nucleotides) under uncultured prokaryote. RNAcentral's name for it is "bacterial SSU rRNA". It matches the Rfam family "Bacterial small subunit ribosomal RNA", at positions 355 to 774 of the family's 1533-position model. The record is from RNAcentral.